Long non-coding RNA from Apis mellifera (honey bee), 4848 nucleotides. RefSeq lists it as uncharacterized. The record is from RefSeq and is a predicted model, not a curated record. Lineage: Eukaryota; Metazoa; Arthropoda; Insecta; Hymenoptera; Apidae. The transcript has 2 exons.
GUUCUUUUCGUUAUUUUCGUGAAAUCCUUUGUGUUUUUAUUAUUUCAUUGGUAAAAAGUGAUUUAUUUAUAUUGUAUUUUCAUUUCACCUGCGUGUCGAUACGUAAUUACUCGUUUUUCUAUCAUUGAUCCUUGUCUUUAAACGAUUAAAAAUUAAAUCCGCUCUCUAAUAAGCAAUGAGUGACGUUAAUGGAAGUCACAGGCAUCGAUCUCGUUCUUUAAUUAUUUGAACAGGUUGUUACGGUUCGAGGUAUCGAUCACAUCAAAAUUUAAACUGAAAUUGACGAACAGGUUCUCAGGUUCGAUAACACGAUGAACGAGAAAACACGAUGAAAAAUCUUUUUUUAUCCGUUUUCAACGACACUGCCAUUAUUUAUCACUCUCAUCAUUGAUUUAUUACUAUCAUUUAUUCGAAGAAGCCAGAAGAAGAGAAGCAUCUCUACACAAGUUUUCGAUAUCUUCUCCACUCUAGUUAUAAUCCCAUAAUAACGAAUUGCUCAACUAUUUCGUCACUGGUAAUCGUUCUAUACAAUCUAUGAAACAUUUUAUGGCACAGAGUUAAGGUUAUCGUCCAUUUGACACCACCUGAUCGACAAUUAAAUCGGUAUAUUCGUAUCUAUUGCUCAUUUAUUAAUCGAAAAAUAAAAUGAUUAAACAUUCGUGAUCAUAAUUGAUUCAGAUCUAUUGAAAUAACUCGUGAUUAAUACGAGUAUACUAGAUGACGAUUAAUUGUCGAUUGCAGCGCUGUCAAAAGGCGGCGAUCUUUAUCGUAGAUUAUAAUAUUUUUACGAAUAUCGUGUAAAUCGCCAAAGAGAUUGUAACACGAGAAGAUUACUGUUAAACGGUGAGAUACACAAUAAAUCAGUACCAAGUACGAACGAAAUAUUUUUUUCUCGAUCCAUUGUUUGAACAAAAACAGAUUCAAGUAAUUUAUAAAUAUCAUAAUCGUACAAACUUUGAAAGAAAUUUUUAAAUAACAUCCACGAUAUUAAAAUCAUAUAAUUUCUUUCUUUUUUUUUCGUCUACUCGUAGUGAAUCUACAUUUUUUCAGGUCGCUCGUGUAAACAGGGCAUAUGAAAAUACAAUAAAAUUGCGGAACCAAGAAACGAGCCAUUAAUAAUCAUAACCUCCCCUUUUAUGCAUUUUAGUAAGUCAAGGAUAUGAAUUAUAUAUUCGCGUUUAUCACAAUUUCAAAGUACAAGUGAGAGUAUUGUCCGAAUGUUCAACAAAUUUACAACCAUCGAGAGAAAUAAAAAGCAUUCUCUCGUGAAAAUUUUCUUCUCUAUUCACAAUUCGUAAGAAUCUUUUCUUUUUUUUUUUUUUACUAAUCCCAAACGAACGAAAAUUGAAACCAGAGAAAGAGAGAAGAAACAGGUUAAUUUCAUCGGUGAUACUCGUGAAAUUUAAUUCGAGUUCACCAAUCCGUGAAUAAUUUUUUCGUCCCCCCGUCGAGAAAUUAGAACGGCCGAGAAAGAACAAGCAAUUAAAUACACGACGUCGAGCUCAUGGUACGCGGAUUAUUUCCCGAUGGUAACUAGCGAACUUUAAUGGCGAUGCGACGUAACUUCGAGGCUGAAACUUUGUAAUCCCUCGGUAUAUUGGUUUCUAAGAGCAAGUGUUUUCAGUCAAAGCGGUAUGUAAACUUUCCAAAGAAUCCGCUUUAUUACAUUUUUUUCCUCCCCCCUCGCUUCUUUUCUUUUCUUGGAUAGAUCGAAUAAGAUACGUUUUAUCAGAAAAAUCGGGAAUAUCGAUACGAUAUCGCGAUCCUUUGUGUGCAUCGAUGAUGACGAGAAACCUUCGCUUCGUUGCUUCUUCUUUUAAAGAAAACAAAGUCUUGCGAUAAUUUCAAUAACUAAUUAAUCAAUCCUUUUUUCCUUUGUACGAUAAUCUUUUAUUUAACGACGAGAUAUUUUUAUCGAAUCUGUCUCCACUUUUUAUUUCCACUUCUGUUAAAAACAAUUGCUCCUCCUCUUUUUUUUUAUUUUAUUCCUCCUCCCCUUUAAUAAAUUUCUCGUUCGAAAAUAUCGAAUUAAUCGCAUAAUCGUAUAUAAAUGUGUCGGAGGGACACAGACAUUUCGAUUUCAAUUCUUGCUGCGAGACAAAUAGGGAACACGUUGCGAUAUCAGACUAUUCUCGAGGAAAUUGUCAUAAUGCUGGAUAAUCCGAUUUUGUUCCACACCAAUAUUGGAACGACACGAACGUGGGAUGACAGUAGUUUGCUGUAACUAAACUCCGCAUUAAACGUAUCUCGCAGAGGUAGCGCGGCCGGACUGAUAUAAUCGAUUCCGUUGCGAUUAUUAAGCACUAUUACGUGCGUUUCAAAUAUAAGCAGAAUAACACGAUCAUCCUGCAAAUCGAUCGAGAGUCGGCCGCUACGAGGAAACAAUCCAAUCCGCAACAUUCAUUGAAUCGACAAGCUUCGAUAACGCUUCAAAAUCGACUGGAACGAAACCGCCACGUUCCUUCCCACGGUUUUCACUUGCUUUGUGCUUCCUGUUCCAGAGACUCGACGCGCCCCUAUAUUUCCGACUGGUGGAGACGAGUGGAGUGCGUCGUCAUCCCCCCCUCGGUAUCAGGACUAAUUCUUGGGUCUAAUCUUGAAUAAUCUUCGCUAAUCUCGUGCCAUCUAACGACAGCUUCCCAGGACCGUGUAACCGGAAUAGGUUCGUUUUCAAUUAGAGGAGAACAUUUCGCUGAUGGCGUCUACGAUCUCGCUCGAAACUCGAGAAGAGGAAGAAGCAAGGAGGGAGGGAGGGAGGGAGUUGAAACUUGGCGAAUUCGCGGCGAAUCUGCCGACAGAACAAAUUGCACGGAUAAUCAUCCGCCUCCCUGCCGCGAUAAAUCGCGCUCCAUUAGAACUUAAACCAUAGGAGACGUGUCCAUACAUGAAGGGGAGAGAGAGGGUUGUACGGUGUAUAACGAUAAUGUAAUGUGGGACGAUUAUUAGGAAUCGUGGAUAAUUUUAGAGAGGCUAAUGUUCGAUUUGUUUGCAUAAAUUUUCUGUUCUCGAAUUUUCCUUCAUAUGGACAAUUUGCAACGCUGUUUCGUGAUCCAUUUAUUUGGGUAUCUCUUGGAAAACUUUUGAAGUAUGUACGUGCGGAUGAUUUUCUAGAUUGUGUUGUAUCUUCGAUGUUGCAAUUCGUUAUAUAACGAUAGUGGAUAAUUAAUAGUUGACACGAAUUGUGAACUUUCUAAAAAUAUCAAUAUAAGAUAUAUCUCGUUCAAAUCGAUCCAUUUCCAGGAAAGCGUCGAUUUCGAAUAAAGUUUGAUUGCGCCACUUGUUGUAGAUAGACUCUUUCAGAAAAUAAUAAUAAUAAUAAUGAUUUAAUCAAUUUCAUUACACUUUUCAACACUUUCUUAUAAUAUAAAAUUAACCGACACAAUUUCCAAAUACGACGAAAUGUACAACUGCCACGGUAUAUACGAGCAUUCAACAAGUACGACAAUCACACCAGACCCGGUGCAUACACGAUGCAUAAUCUUAAGGUAUGCAAGCAAGCACACCGAGGAGAGUUCAAAUCACAGGAAACUCCCCCCUCCCUCUCCUAUUCUCGGCACAAUGGAGCCGAAACAGGUUCCUUGGAAUGGCAGAAUUUCAUAGGUACGGAGACGAGCGUUGCCAAGGGUGCAACAAUUGACCGUCAUAAUCAUAGCUUUCUAUUUUAUCGCAAUACAUCUUUUUACACAUCAAUCUGGAAAGUGCUCUUUUGAACCGUAUAAUAAUAGGCUUUGUUCGUAAAAAGGACGGCAUUCAUUCCGAUUCUCGAGAAAUACCCUUGUAUUCUCGAUUUCCACAAUCUUUUCCCUCCCCUCAAAGGGGAUGCCGCUCGUACGAAUCGUUUUGGCCGAUCGAUUCGUCGCCAGCUUUCAAACACACGGGACACGGUCGAUCUUCCGUACCCGACGAAAAUUGCACGAGAUGCUUCCCCACCCCUCUCUCUCUCUCUUUUCCCUUCCUCUGUGACGGUAUUUCUCGCUGACAAAUGGAACUGAUCUAUUUAAUCGUCGUUAAACGCCGUGUCUUUGAGCGUGGCGGCGAAUCCAAUGUCGUCGAGCGAACGAAAUUUUCGUUCGAGCGCGUGGAAUUUUACAAAAGGUGCAAUUCGGAACGGUAACCAGGCAAGGUGGUAAAAGGAAAAUAGGAGAAAUUAGAAUGGGUAUUGAAAAAUAAAUAUAUCAGUAUUAUAAUUGAUCGUCGAAAGAUUAUUACACAGUACAAAAAAGAAAUUUCAAGAUAUUAAUAGUUUUGGAAUUUUAAAUAUACAACUUGAUAUUAUUUAUAUUUGCAUUAUUAAUUUUAAUUUUAUGCUUAAUACGUAUAAUGUCAAUUGACUGGAUAAUUCAUAGUAUCUAUUCUCUAUAUUUGGUGUAUACUAAAAUAAAUAAGAAAUUUAGAAUCCAUAUAUAUAUACGUUCAUUGUCGAAAAAGGUUCCUCGCGCGACAAGAAUGGAUAAAGCUUAAAACGAGCGCAACCUACGAAACAAAAGCGAUCGAUUUUCUAUGACAAGCGUCCGUUUCAAUCUAUUUGGGUCGGUAUUUCCGUGAGACUUGGCGGAAUUCGUUAUUUCAUUCGGGGGGAGGCACGCGAAAUUCGUCGAAAAGUUGCCACGAUGGAAGAAAAACAUGAUCUGCGUGCACAAACAAUUCUGUCAACGAAUUUAAUUUCACCGCGAUGUAAAUUUGUAUCCGUUCGGUUCCGAGCGAAGAGAAAAGGAUCCAAUUAAAACGGAAUACUGCUGCCAGCGACGCGUGGAAUGUUUUUUCGAAAGGGCUGAAAAAUACGAACUUGAUGACUAUUCGCUUCGAGGUCUUCGUGAUGGGGGGGAGGAUUUUUUUUUUUAAAAAAAA